CAAAAGGCUCUUUUAAGAGCCACUACAUACUCUCAAAAUUGCUGG
Molecule: non-coding RNA, 45 nt
Filed under: Podarcis lilfordi (Lilford's wall lizard)
Lineage: Eukaryota; Metazoa; Chordata; Lepidosauria; Squamata; Lacertidae
Rfam family: Histone 3' UTR stem-loop
About the family: The mRNAs of metazoan histone genes lack a poly-A tail.
Source: RNAcentral